UUAAAUGCAGUGACGGGAAGCAGUACAUGAUUUCAGUAUGCCCAGAGAGAAGGUGGCUGGUGUGAACCUUCGUGACAGAAUUAUGGAAGUAGUCCCCGAGCAGUGAACUGAACCAUGAUCUUAUCUGGAUCAUACAGUAGGCUUCAACGUAGUUUCCACGUUACAGGAAAGCAGUAUGAUCAUGUACUGGCAGAGAGAGAGUAUUCUCUGAAAUCAGGUGGUACCACGGAUUUAUCCGUCCUGAGC
RNAcentral lists this non-coding RNA (246 nucleotides) under Blautia sp. RNAcentral describes it as "T-box sequence". It matches the Rfam family "T-box leader". Rfam says of the family: Uncharged tRNA acts as the effector for transcription antitermination of genes in the T-box leader family. T-boxes are found upstream of many aminoacyl-tRNA synthetase genes and some amino acid biosynthetic genes usually in Gram-positive bacteria. Lineage: Bacteria; Bacillati; Bacillota; Clostridia; Lachnospirales; Lachnospiraceae. The record is from RNAcentral.